This 426-nucleotide ribosomal RNA is filed under the name uncultured bacterium. RNAcentral describes it as "bacterial SSU rRNA". It matches the Rfam family "Bacterial small subunit ribosomal RNA", at positions 355 to 796 of the family's 1533-position model. The record is from RNAcentral.
CUAAGAAUCUUGCGCAAUGGGCGAAAGCCUGACGCAGCAAUUCCGCGUGGGGGACGAAGGCCCUCGGGUCGUAAACCCCUUUUGCGAGGGAAGAAGUUCUGACGGUACCUCGCGAAUAAGACACGGCUAACUACGUGCCAGCAGCCGCGGUAAUACGUAGGUGUCGAGCGUUGUCCGGAUUUAUUGGGCGUAAAGCGCCCGCAGGCGGCUUGCCAAGUUCGAGGUGAAAUCUCCCGGCUCAACUGGGAGGGUGCCUCGAAAACUGGCAGGCUUGAGUCAUGGAGAGGGAUGUGGAAUUCCCGGUGUAGUGGUGAAAUGCGUAGAUAUCGGGAGGAACACCAGUGGCGAAGGCGGCAUCCUGGCCAUGUACUGACGCUCAGGGGCGAAAGCGUGGGGAGCAAACCGGAUUAGAUACCCCCGUAGUCC